GAGUCACCUUGGUAACCACUUCAGUGUGCGGUCCUGACUUCGGUGACUGCAUAGAUGGUUGUUCAGAUCUCGUCCUGUAAAUGUGCAGGGAUGAAGACCAUCACACUCCUGCACAUCACCUUUCUACUUCUGCCAGGAGUGGGCCCCUCAGAGGAGCCAGACAAACCCUGUGUAUUCCCCUUCGUCUACAAGAGCAAGAGCUACAGCAAGUGUAUUCUUCAUGAUGGCCUGAGGCCGCACGGCAAGUGCGCCACCACAGCCAACCUGGACCGCGACGGAGGAUGGAGAUGGUGCACAGGCGAGUUUGCUCUGUGUGUGUGUGUUUGUGUGUACUGUAGCGGUGUAUGGUUGUGUGCAUGUGUGUUUGUUUGUAGGCUCACCAUGC
Molecule: long non-coding RNA, 385 nt
Organism: Engraulis encrasicolus (European anchovy)
Lineage: Eukaryota; Metazoa; Chordata; Actinopteri; Clupeiformes; Engraulidae
Exons: 3
Source: RefSeq, a predicted model, not a curated record